Molecule: ribosomal RNA, 595 nt
Filed under: uncultured bacterium
Lineage: Bacteria
Description: partial 16S ribosomal RNA
Rfam family: Bacterial small subunit ribosomal RNA
Source: RNAcentral
UGGGGAAUUUUGGACAAUGGGCGAAAGCCUGAUCCAGCAAUGCCGCGUGUGUGAAGAAGGCCUUCGGGUUGUAAAGCACUUUUGUCCGGAAAAGAAAUCCUUGGCUCUAAUACAGUCGGGGGAUGACGGUACCGGAAGAAUAAGCACCGGCUAACUACGUGCCAGCAGCCGCGGUAAUACGUAGGGUGCAAGCGUUAAUCGGAAGUUACUGGGCGUAAAGCGUGCGCAGGCGGUUUGCUAAGACCGAUGUGAAAUCCCCGGGCUAACCUGGGAACUGCAUUGGUGACUGGCAGGCUAGAGUAUGGCAGAGGGGGGUAGAAUUCCCACGUGUAGCAGUGAAAAUGCGUAGAGAUGUGGAGGAAUACCGAUGGCGAAGGCAGCCCCCCUGGGGCCAAAUACUGACGCUCAUGCACGAAAAGCGUGGGGAGCAAAACAGGAUUAGAUACCCUGGUAGUCCACGCCCUAAAACGAUGUCAACUAGUUGUUGGGGGAUUCAUUUCCUUAGUAACGUAGCUAACGCGUGAAGUUGACCGCCUGGGGAGUACGGUCGCAAGAUUAAAACUCAAAUGAAUUGACGGGGUCAUAGCUGUUUCCU